Cyprinus carpio (common carp) is the source of this 1687-nucleotide RNA transcript. It is a transcript of the gene named coatomer subunit zeta-1-like, with no coding region annotated. NCBI's taxonomy places the organism in Eukaryota, Metazoa, Chordata, Actinopteri, Cypriniformes, Cyprinidae. The record is from RefSeq and is a predicted model, not a curated record.
AAGCUAUGGGGGGUUUGAGCCAACAUGGCGGUUCGAGGGCUGCAGUUGCAGACACGCCCCCUGUGAGUCAGAGGGUUUUAGUAGAGCUACUGUAAUGACAGCCCAAAGCUGUCCACGUCAACACUGAGCUACCACCAUGGACUCCGCGGCUCUGGAACCCUCGCUCUACACUGUGAAGGCUGUCUUCAUCUUAGACAACGAUGGAAACAGACUGCUUUCAAAGUACUAUGAUCCAGAACUCUACCCCUCCAUGAAAGAGCAGAAGAAUUUUGAAAUGAACGUCUUCAACAAAACCCAUAAAGCUGACAAUGAAAUUUCUUUCUUAGAGGGAAUGACGAUAGUCUACAAGAGCAGCAUAGACUUGUUCUUCUAUGUUGCUGGCAGCGCUCAGGAGAAUGAGCUCAUGCUGAUGGCAGUGUUGAACUGCUUGUUUGAGUCUCUCAGUCAGAUGUUGAGGAAGAAUGUGGAGAAAAGGACUCUGUUGGAUAAUAUGGAUGGAGUGUUCCUUGUGGUGGAUGAAAUCAUCGAUGGAGGGGUGAUCCUAGAGAGUGACCCCCAGCAGGUCAUUGAGAAGGUCAACUACAGGUGUGUGUCAGAACAAGCGUAUGGCUUCGUCCUUUUUGAUUACAUCACUGGUAACAUGGAGGACCAAGGAGAGAAGCGGCAGCUCCUGUAGCUCUCCUUCAGCCCCCCUCCCUCACUCCCUCUGAUUUAGAGCUGGAUAGAGACGGGAGAGAGAGAGGGACGAGGGUGAGAGAGUGUGCAGGCAGAUGACAACCCAUUAUCAGAACAGAGUGUGGCACAGGUGUUACAGUCAGCAAAGGAGCAGAUCAAGUGGUCAAUUCUAAAAUAACAUUUUCCAUGACCUGAAGGAAUCUGUAAAUUAGGAAGGAAUUACAUUUUUUAUUUUUAAUGAGUUAUAAUUUAAUUAAUUAUUUAAGUAAUGCAGUUGCAUUUCAUGUUUAGUACUGAAAUAUGUAUAUUUUUUGCCAAAGAGUACAUUUUUUUUUAAGUGAUAUGAUAUAAAGAUGCAUAUUUGCUUACUGGGUUCUGAACUUAACAUCAUUAAAUACACGCAUACCUGUCUAUUUCAGUACAAAGCCGCUUUAAAGCAAUUACAACUCUUUUUAACCUCUGCAAAUAUUGGUAUAAUGCUGUUCUGUCCAGAGGAGGAACAGUCAUGUCUUCUUCUAGCACAGCCUGUCUUAGCACAGUUUUGUUAUUUUGAUUAUGCUUUAAAACCUUUUGUCAAAAUAAUAAUAAUAAUAAUAAUUGACAAAGUUUUGUUACACUAAGUCUCUAUAUUUUGCUAUUUAAAAUUGUAUGUUUUUUUUUUUUGUUGUUGUUGUUGUUCAAAUGAGAAAAAGGCAAUAUUAUGAAAUUGACAGAGUCAGAUAGAGGCAUUAGUAUAAUAAUAUAGCCCACUAUAAUAAAAAUAAUUUACUGAUAAGCCACAAUUACAUAUACUUUAGAAAUAUGGAAAGUAAUAGCAUUUACUAGGUUUUAAAUAAAGUAUUUUGUUUUGGUGAUACAAAAUAACAAUAAAGUAACAUUUCCAUGAAAAUAAAAUAUUAAAUUUUUAUAGUCAGAUAAAUUGUGUAUAUUCUGCUGAUUUGUUUAUAUAUAUAUAAACCAUGGUUUCAGGAAAUAAUAUGCACAAAAAUGUCACUAAAAACUAAUAAAUGUU